UACGGAGGGUGCAAGCGUUAUCCGGAUUCACUGGGCUUAAAGGGUGCGUAGGUGGGUCUGUAAGUCAGUGGUGAAAUCUCCAGGCUUAACCUGGAAACUGCCAUUGAUACUAUAGGUCUUGAAUUUUCUGGAGGUCAGCGGAAUAUGUCAUGUAGCGGUGAAAUGCUUAGAUAUGACAUAGAACACCAAUUGCGAAGGCAGCUGGCUACAGGAACAUUGACACUGAGGCACGAAAGCGUGGGGAUCAAACAGG
Molecule: ribosomal RNA, 253 nt
Filed under: uncultured bacterium
Lineage: Bacteria
Description: partial 16S ribosomal RNA
Rfam family: Bacterial small subunit ribosomal RNA
Source: RNAcentral